Molecule: ribosomal RNA, 508 nt
Filed under: Massilia yuzhufengensis
Lineage: Bacteria; Pseudomonadati; Pseudomonadota; Betaproteobacteria; Burkholderiales; Oxalobacteraceae
Description: bacterial SSU rRNA
Rfam family: Bacterial small subunit ribosomal RNA
Source: RNAcentral
AUUGAACGCUGGCGGCAUGCUUUAACAUGCAAGUCGAACGGCAGCGCGGGGCAACCUGGCGGCGAGUGGCGAACGGGUGAGUAAUAUAUCGGAACGUACCCAGAAGUGGGGGAUAACGUAGCGAAAGUUACGCUAAUACCGCAUACGAUCUACGGAUGAAAGUGGGGAACCUUCGGGCCUCAUGCUUUUGGAGCGGCCGAUAUCUGAUUAGCUAGUUGGUAGGGUAAAGGCCUACCAAGGCGACGAUCAGUAGCUGGUCUGAGAGGACGACCAGCCACACUGGAACUGAGACACGGUCCAGACUCCUACGGGAGGCAGCAGUGAGGAAUUUUGGACAAUGGGCGCAAGCCUGAUCCAGCAAUGCCGCGUGAGUGAAGAAGGCCUUCGGGUUGUAAAGCUCUUUUGUCAGGGAAGAAACGGUCUAGGUUAAUACCUUGGGCUAAUGACGGUACCUGAAGAUAAGCACCGGCUAACUACGUGGCCAGCAGCGCGGUAAUACGUAGGGUGC